AUCGCUUCUCGGCCUUUUGGCUGAGAUCAAGUGUAGUAUCUGUUCUUAUCAGUUUAAAAUGCCAAUAUUUUCCACGAUCUCAUCAUAAUCUAGUUCCUUACUUCCU
This 106-nucleotide small nuclear RNA is filed under the name Myotis davidii. RNAcentral's name for it is "U2 spliceosomal RNA". It matches the Rfam family "U2 spliceosomal RNA". Rfam says of the family: U2 is a small nuclear RNA (snRNA) component of the spliceosome (involved in pre-mRNA splicing). Complementary binding between U2 snRNA (in an area lying towards the 5' end but 3' to hairpin I) and the branchpoint sequence (BPS) of the intron results the bulging out of an unpaired adenosine, on the BPS, which initiates a nucleophilic attack at the intronic 5' splice site, thus starting the first of two transesterification reactions that mediate splicing. Lineage: Eukaryota; Metazoa; Chordata; Mammalia; Chiroptera; Vespertilionidae. The record is from Rfam by way of RNAcentral.